AGUUGGAGAGUGUCGCCGGCAAUGUCGCCCCCGCUGGCGGCGCUUUCCGGGGGACGGGUGAACAGCCCGUCCCUGCUUAUACCUUCCGUCCGGAGCAAGCCCCCCUCCGUCGGAAGGUCAGGCGGGCGGUGGAGUUCCCCCAGCUCCAUCGCCCGCUUUC
Molecule: small RNA, 160 nt
Filed under: Rhodopseudomonas palustris BisB5
Lineage: Bacteria; Pseudomonadati; Pseudomonadota; Alphaproteobacteria; Hyphomicrobiales; Nitrobacteraceae
Description: Bradyrhizobiaceae sRNA BjrC80
Rfam family: Bradyrhizobiaceae sRNA BjrC80
Source: Rfam by way of RNAcentral